Mastomys coucha (southern multimammate mouse) is the source of this 1944-nucleotide long non-coding RNA. RefSeq lists it as uncharacterized. The record is from RefSeq and is a predicted model, not a curated record. NCBI's taxonomy places the organism in Eukaryota, Metazoa, Chordata, Mammalia, Rodentia, Muridae. The transcript is spliced from 2 exons.
UCGCCUUGGCGCGCGCAGCCCUUACAUAAGCGUCCCCGGCGCCGGUGCCGGUGCACGUCCACGCACAGCGACCUGCAGCAGGAAGAGUAAAGUGCAGAGCGCCGCGGACACUCACCUCCGCCCCGCCGCCUCCAACCGUGGCCGCCGCCUCUGACGGUCCCUGCCUCCACUGACAGGGAACAGCUGCGGUCUCCGCGCAACCAAACUUGCUGCGGCGCUGGCUCCGCCCCUGAGACUUCCCAUUGGGUGAGACGGCCCAGCCCCUCCAACGAUUGGAUGAAUGGCCCUAUCAAUCACCGCUCCCCCUUUCAGGACUCCUCCCCGCACCCACCCACCCCUAGCGUUCAAGCCUUGGCGCCUCACGUCGGCUCCGCCCCUCGCGUCCCCGGAGGACCAUGUGAUUGGUGAAGAGGCGAGAAGAGCCCACCCCCUACGCGCCCCCGCCUACUCCCGUUUCAAGGAGGCCUCACGUGGGCAGUCUGGAGCGGCCAGGGCCCGCAAUAGGCGGAAGUGGUGCGUCUGGAAGCUCAUCCUGAUUGGCUGUCGGCGGGGGUGGGGACGCGCAAUUCAUUCACUCGGGUAGCACGUGUCUCUUAAAACCGCAACCAUAACAGAUGCACGGGGGUUGGAGCAGGGCUGCCAGAUGCACUUACUCUUUAGCAGCUACAGAAGAGGUCGCAGGAGAAGCGCUAGCUGAGAGCACGAGGAAGCGGAGAGCGCCGGUACCACCUGGGGUUAUGUGUCCGCGUCCUUUAGAAGCGGCGUGAUGGAGGUGGUGGUCAGAUGCCCGCCUCUGUGUGACCUUGGAGCAUCAGCUUCACGUCUCUGAGCUCAGACUCCUGACCGACAAAGCUGGGCCGCUCAGAACCUUAAAAGAUUUUCUUUCUAGAAGGUUCGGUUCAGCUAAUGAAAGUCACCAACUCCAAAGUCCUGCCUUCCAGUAAUAGGAGACCAAAGAGUAAACAAAUACAGUCCAUCAUCAUUGAUCAGGCCAAGAAGAGAAAAAUAGACCAUUUCCUGACAGGACAAUCAGGAAUUAUGAGGACAUCGCGUUAAACAAUAAUUGCUUACUAACUCCGACUCUGGUGUGUAGAGCUUGCCACUGGGCUGCUGGGCAAAGUGGCCCAGGUUUGUAGUAAUACCAGUACUUAGAAGACUGAGGCAGGAGAAUUUCAAGUUCAAGGUCCUCAAGGAAUCCAGGCCACACUCGUGGGUCUCUGGGGACUGUUUCCAUCUAUCAGUGCUGUUAAGCCAUCCUGAGUCAUCAUGACAAUGAGGGGAAGGUGGCCCUCUGGAAAUCACUGGGCCCAUUGCAGUGUCCCACCAGUCCAUGACGAAGCAGACGUGGGUUGGCGUUAGGAGCACAACACUAAGGCCCUUGAGCCCACAGAUCUCUAGAGAAAACAGGAAUGUUAAGCACACAAGAUUGUCUUUCCAUUGAGAAAGAUGUUUAGAAAAGAAAGAAAGAAAGAAAAGACCCUGUUCUUCUAUCCAGGAAAUUGAGGAUUGGAAGUGAUUAAUUGCCUGGUGAUCUGUUAAUCCAGACCAUAUCAAGCCUCUACAACCAGAACCUGAGGUAGGUAGUAAUCUAAAUGACUUUUAAAGCCAGAGGUUCCCCCAAGCUCUCACAACCAGGAGGAGAGGUGGCUUGUAGUCCAAAUGACCUCUACACUAUGAGUGUAUGAGUGAGAGCAGGCCAGAGCCUCAGGCCCUUACGCUAGUACAGGUAUCCUAUCUUUAGAACCCAUCUUCCUGGGGAAAAAAACGACAUGUACCCUGAGUCUAGUUUCAAUGAAAUUAUGCUUCCUUGUAUACCAGAGAUUGUACUACACCAGGAAACUUUUUUUCUAAAUUACGCUGGUCUUAAAUAGGUUGACAAUGAGCCACCUGCUAUUAGACUCUUGAGAAGUUUUGAACCAGGUUGAUAAAGUCAGUCUGACCUGA